GCUAGAGAAGAUUAGUGGCGGACGGGUGAGUAACAUUUAGGAAUCUGCCUAGUAGUGGGGGAUAGCUCGGGGAAACUCGAAUUAAUACCGCAUACGACCUACGGGUGAAAGGGGGCGCAAGCUCUUGCUAUUAGAUGAGCCUAAAUCAGAUUAGCUAGUUGGUGGGGUAAAGGCCCACCAAGGCGACGAUCUGUAACUGGUCUGAGAGGAUGAUCAGUCACACCGGAACUGAGACACGGUCCGGACUCCUACGGGAGGCAGCAGUGGGGAAUAUUGG
Molecule: ribosomal RNA, 277 nt
Filed under: Salmonella enterica subsp. enterica serovar Montevideo
Lineage: Bacteria; Pseudomonadati; Pseudomonadota; Gammaproteobacteria; Enterobacterales; Enterobacteriaceae
Description: partial 16S ribosomal RNA
Rfam family: Bacterial small subunit ribosomal RNA
Source: RNAcentral